AGGACCUGCCCUGGCCAGCCUGACAUAAAAGGGCAGCUCUAGUCUGGCUUGGACUGAUCAGGGCUCAUCCGGGCACAGCUGACCAUGAGGUUCCCUGCUCAGCUCCUGGGGCUCCUCCUGCUCUGGGUCCCAGGAUCCAGUGGGGCCAUCGUGCUGACCCAGACUCCACUCUCCCUGUCAGUCAGCCCUGGAGAGCCGGCCUCCAUCUCCUGCAGGUCCAGUCAGAGCCUUGAGAAAUAUGGAAGCAAUUUGUUGAGUUGGUACCAGCAGAAACCAGGCCAGUCUCCACAGCUCCUGAUCUAUGAGGCUACCAACAGGGCCUCUGGGGUCCCAGACAGGUUCAGUGGCAGUGGGUCAGGCACAGAUUUCACCCUGAAAAUCAGCAGGGUGGAGGCUGAGGAUGCAGGCGUUUAUUACUGCCAGCAAAAUAAAGAAUCUCC
Sus scrofa (pig) is the source of this 440-nucleotide non-coding RNA. Lineage: Eukaryota; Metazoa; Chordata; Mammalia; Artiodactyla; Suidae. The record is from the annotation of a RefSeq genome assembly.